GGUGCCCGGCUCAACCGGGUCCCUUUAGCUCAACAAGUAAAGCUGGCGUAGGUAGAGCCCCAUUGGGACGGGCUGGGUGCAGGAAAGGUGCCCCUCCUUUGGGUGCUGGGGUCUCGAGCCCCUCCUUUAGGUGCCGAGCUCGCUCUACUCGCUUGCUGUCGCGCGGCAGUUGGUUCUAGGUCGCGGGGGUUGGCGGAGGCUCGAGGAGGCGGCCGCUGUUCUUCGUUGCGAGGGAUGGGGGAGGGAGGCCACGACUCCUAGGUUCGAGGCGGGGAGGUCGCUGCCGCUGCCUGGCGCUGGCAGUGGCAAGAGGAAGGGGCCUAGAGGGGAGGCGGAGGUUCGAGGCUAGGGGAGGCCGCUGCCGCCACCGUUGCCAAGGCGCCUGCAAUGACAGAGUAGACUAGUUCCCGAAAAGUUGAGUGAUAUACUCGAACUAGAACAAUAGAAAUUAGCCAGUAACUCUUCUUUCUUUCUUUCCAUACCCUUUCGAAUUUAAAUAACCAACCAUACUUAACUUGUCGAUCGGUUCUUCUCUACACUAACCACUACAAAUACAAGACUCAAGACGACGGCAAAUGUACUAUUUAGAAAACGACGACCAAGAAUAAUCUACUCGGUUUCUCAUUUCCAUCUCCACUCUACUAAACAAAGGAAGGAUUCCACAUAUCAACAUGGAGGUUCUAUCCGUUCUCGUUAAAUUAUCAAGUAAAGUCAAAAGAUGGAUAUCAAGGUCCUUCCACCUCGACAUCGACCUUCUAUAUCCUCUGUAUACAUCGAAUGAAAACAGAACAAACAAGUGAAGGUCUAUCUACCUAUAUGCCGACAAAUAUCGUUUCGUACUCAUCUUUACCAACGUUUACACGUUUAUUUCCACAUAUCAUCUUAGUAUAUAGAAAAACAAACAAUAUGUGGAUAAAGUUCGUCUAGUCAACAACUAAAGAGAAGUGGCCGAAACCAAAGUAGUACGGAAACAAAUAUAAGUCGUCUAGUCGACACCACACUGUGGAUAAAUUACCACACAAAUUACGAGAGUGUUUGGGUACUAGUUUCUUACUGGUAUAUAACUAUACGUAUUCAAAUAUUCAUCAAAUAACUGGAUAUACGUCACAACACUGAAGUCACGUCUACUAGCAUGGCACUAAAACGGUACAUUCCUGGACCUUUUACUUGGUUACCAUCAAGAACCUCCCGUUUGAGACAAGUAGUAACAAGAGAAACAUCUAUGGGUAACUCUGUUUGUUAUAAUAAAACACAGAUGAGAAAAUGAGUGAAUGAAGUUAUACAGAAUCUAAUUAGCUUCGUUAGAAAAAAAGAACUUAUACAACUAUGUAAAAAUACACGUAAAUAAAACCUUUACGUAUAAAAGGGUACCGUACUUCCAGAAUCUAUAUAGUCCCACUCGUGUUGCUUUUCGUAACGUUCAGCAAGUAAACUAAAUUCGCAUCAACCAUUACAUAAUGUGGUUAGUUUUAUAUUAUUACUUGUUGUAACACUGGAAUGCCGCGACGUUUCGCGUACUAAUGAAGUUCACUUAUAAUUUAGACUCAUGAAACAUCACUGACGUUCACCGUAAAACCAAGAAUCCUGUAAGACUAAGACUCAUGAAACAUCUCGAAGUUUCUUCGAACUUCUUUAAUUAUAAGAAAAGCGUUCGUUAAAUCAGCUAAAAAAUACGUGUGACGUGUAUAGUAUAUAACCAAGUAUGAUAAAGUAGGAUUAGGUAAAUAUGAAUUUUUAUCAGAUAACUUUGACUUGACCACGAUUGAAUUAUAAAACACAUCAAGUCAGUUGUAGUUCUACGCCAUGGACUACAGGUACGUCUCACCUCUUUGCUGAACUCAUCCCGAUCACUAGCGGCGGAACGUCAAGUAGAUUAAACUUUCAUAGAGACGGAACCUGUACCGUUCACUAUUAAGUCAAAAGAAAACAGCACUUGUUUAAACUUACUACUAUCGUGUACUUUUAAUAAAUCCGGUUGCCAACUAGAGUUACUCUACACCUGACUGGCCAUAGACUUGGGAACAAUUGACUGCCAAAAUACAUAAACAAAUAUACUUAAUACUCUAAAAUACAUAAACAAAAAAUCUUAAUAAACACCUUAAGAAUAGAUACCAGGUAACAAUAGCCAUCUUAAAACAUACUUCCG
Molecule: ribosomal RNA, 2146 nt
Filed under: Triticum aestivum (bread wheat)
Lineage: Eukaryota; Viridiplantae; Streptophyta; Magnoliopsida; Poales; Poaceae
Description: partial small subunit ribosomal RNA
Source: RNAcentral